Molecule: ribosomal RNA, 519 nt
Filed under: uncultured bacterium
Lineage: Bacteria
Description: bacterial SSU rRNA
Rfam family: Bacterial small subunit ribosomal RNA
Source: RNAcentral
AGAGUUUGAUCAUGGCUCAGGAUGAACGCUAGCUACAGGCUUAACACAUACAAGUCGAGGGGCAGCAUUGGAGUAGCAAUACUCAGAUGGCGACCGGCGCACGGGUGAGUAACACGUAUCCAACCUGCCGCUUACUCGGGGAUAGCCUUUCGAAAGAAAGAUUAAUACCCGAUGGUAUAAAGAGUUCGCAUGUUCUCUUUAUUAAAGAAUUUCGGUAAGCGAUGGGGAUGCGUUCCAUUAGAUAGUUGGCGGGGUAACGGCCCACCAAGUCUACGAUGGAUAGGGGUUCUGAGAGGAAGGUCCCCCACAUUGGAACUGAGACACGGUCCAAACUCCUACGGGAGGCAGCAGUGAGGAAUAUUGGUCAAUGGACGAGAGUCUGAACCAGCCAAAAGUAGCGUGAAGGAUGACUGCCCUAUGGGUUGUAAACUUCUUUUAUAAGGGAAUAAAGUGAGGGACGUGUCCCUUUUUGUAUGUACCUUAUGAAUAAGGAUCGGCUAACUCCGUGCCAGCCGCCGC